Anarrhichthys ocellatus (wolf-eel) is the source of this 779-nucleotide long non-coding RNA. RefSeq lists it as uncharacterized. Lineage: Eukaryota; Metazoa; Chordata; Actinopteri; Perciformes; Anarhichadidae. The record is from RefSeq and is a predicted model, not a curated record. The transcript has 2 exons.
UACUAUAUCCAAUCAGAGUUGUAAUAUGCAAACUACUGUCCACAAUAUCUCCGGCUCUAGAGAAUAGCAAAUAUGAAGUCUUGUUUGCAUUCACGACUAAUUUCAAAUUAAAAAGAGCAUCUAGAAAUUCCUCAAAGGUUUGUUAUAUGAUUUCAGUGGCUGAGUGUGCAGUGUUUGCAAAGCAAUAAAGACGUGUAUCAUUCGCAUAGAGAUGGGCUUUACAAUUUGUUAUGAAGCAGAAUGACAAAGCUGCGUGUUCAGUAACAGCACAUUUUAAAUCUCAAUUGAAUGUAUAAUUAUCUAGAUACAUGGUUUUAAAAUAAUGUGCAUUACUUACGAGAAAUGAGCACAAUGAAUAUCUAUAACCCUCUACUAUACUGUGUUCAUAAUUAAUUUAUUACUUGGUGCUACAAACACAAAUGUUAUUGUGAUACGGUUACUGUUUUUUUUGUGAUGCAAAGAAAAGAGUUCUGCUAAUUGUGUUUUUCUCUUGUCUGUUUUAUUUAGUACACUAUGUUGCUCAUGGGUGCAUUGGCAAGGCCCAAGAUCAGCAGGAACAGCAGGAACAGCAGGAACAGCUGGCCAAACGUUCAUUUGAUGCCGACCCUCAGGAUGGUAACCCUAGAUUCAACUAGACUGAGGGCCACUCCAAAGCCAUGUAUUGUUCAACUGCGGCAACCAUUUGAAAAUAUACAUGCUUUGACGUCAUCGAUAAGUAAAUUGUGAAUUCACUUUGAAGAAUGACAGUUCUGAAUAAAUUUGCAUUUAAAAAUUAAAAA